Molecule: long non-coding RNA, 1009 nt
Organism: Bombyx mori (domestic silkworm)
Lineage: Eukaryota; Metazoa; Arthropoda; Insecta; Lepidoptera; Bombycidae
Exons: 3
Source: RefSeq, a predicted model, not a curated record
UAGAACGAUUUUGUAAUUUCUAAUAAUAUUCAUAAUUGGGAAUAACCUUCUAAGUUAUCAGGGCAGGUGAUUCAUUCUUACUACAAUGACAACAUAAUGACUUAUUUUUCAAGUGAAAACUAGAACAAUAGAAUUUACUAUUGUUCAUUUUUUUUCUGUUGGAACUUAUUAUUACGUUUUUUGACACUUUAUAAUCACAUCAAAAACAUUUUAAAGUCAUCAAUUUUCAGAGAACUUGACAUCAUAAGGAAAGUAUUCCACAGCUAAUCGCGGGUCUUCAAGACCUCGGGACCAUGGCCCUCCCGAUUUGCCUCAGUAAAAAAAUGUAUAAUAACCUGACAUUGUGUUUGAUAAGAAAUAUUUUAAACAACAUUUAUUAUUAAUGUAGCAAAUCAAAAAUCAAAUUGUUUCGCCACGUGGGUUCAACAAUUUAUCAGUCAGUUGAAAAGGAAGGAAUAUUGAAAAUUAAUUGUUGGGUUGCAAGAAUCGGCUGGCUGCAGGCAGCACAUACAUUAUGGCGAGCCUUGAAGACUAUUUCUAGUGGACGUCUGUGGACAAUUGAUGAUGGUCAAACACGAAGAGAUCGUAGAGUGGAAAAGGUGAAAUUUAACGGAGCGAGAAAUCGACGGGAUGCGGUGUUUAUUGUAACGAGCGCGCGAUCGGGCGUGCGGCGCGGCGGCGGCGUGCGCGCUAGAGAAACCGAAAGUAAUGGCGUCGUAUUCAACCCACUUUCACUGUUGCGGUGCGCGAGCGCGAGCGCAGCUGACACCCGCUUGGCCCUUAUUUGCCUUUGAUUAACCUGCAAACGCAUUAAACGAUACGUCCUUAUUACGUUUCUUAUAAUGAAACUUUGUUGCAGUUUCAGUUAAAUUAUUAUAGUGGUGAACGAAAAUGAAGCGUCAAGCCAAAUCACUGGUGGUAGGACCUCUUGGGAGUCCGCACGGGUAGGUACGCCUAUUUCUGCUGUGAAGCAGUAAUGCGCUUCGGUUCGAAGGGUGGGGUAGCCGUU